This 468-nucleotide ribosomal RNA is filed under the name uncultured bacterium. RNAcentral's name for it is "partial 16S ribosomal RNA". It matches the Rfam family "Bacterial small subunit ribosomal RNA", at positions 28 to 507 of the family's 1533-position model. The record is from RNAcentral.
GACGAACGCUGGCGGCGUGCUUAACACAUGCAAGUCGAACGGAAAGGCCCCGCUUUUGUGGGGUGCUCGAGUGGCGAACGGGUGAGUAACACGUGAGUAACCUGCCCUUGACUUUGGGAUAACUUCAGGAAACUGGGGCUAAUACCGGAUAGGUGCUCCUGCUGCAUGGUGGUGGUUGGAAAGUUUCGGCGGUUGGUGAUGGACUCGCGGCUUAUCAGCUUGUUGGUUGGGUAGUGGCUUACCAAGGCUUUGACGGGUAGCCGGCCUGAGAGGGUGACCGGCCACAUUGGGACUGAGAUACGGCCCAGACUCCUACGGGAGGCAGCAGUGGGGAAUAUUGCACAAUGGGCGGAAGCCUGAUGCAGCAACGCCGCGUGCGGGAUGACGGCCUUCGGGUUGUAAACCGCUUUCGCCUGUGACGAAGCGUGAGUGACGGUAAUGGGUAAAGAAGCACCGGCUAACUACGUG